Molecule: long non-coding RNA, 283 nt
Filed under: Solanum tuberosum (potato)
Lineage: Eukaryota; Viridiplantae; Streptophyta; Magnoliopsida; Solanales; Solanaceae
Description: long non-coding RNA (STUB_LNC002685)
Source: RNAcentral
AUUGAUAUGAACACAAAAGUGGUGCUAUCGUGUUUUCUUAACAUGUGUCUCUGUUAUUGAAGAUUGCAGUUGUUUACAUGAGUUGUGUAUGCAGGCAACCGAGAAAUGAAUCACCGAAGAAUUUUCUAUCAUUCUUGUUGUAAUGCUUGUAAGUUAAUUUUUCAAUUUUAUUUACCCCUUUAUCUAACUUGUAUUUUGCCAAUUUUAAGUUUCAUUUGAAAUGACAUUUACUUCAAGAAUAAUCUGUAUUCCUUGUACAUACAAUCUCAAUUUGUUGGGCCCG